This 423-nucleotide ribosomal RNA is filed under the name uncultured bacterium. Its description in RNAcentral is "bacterial SSU rRNA". It matches the Rfam family "Bacterial small subunit ribosomal RNA", at positions 355 to 787 of the family's 1533-position model. The record is from RNAcentral.
UGGGGAAUCUUGGGCAAUGGGGGAAACCCUGACCCAGCGACGCCGCGUGAGGGAAGAAGGUCUUCGGAUUGUAAACCUUUGUGACAGGGGACGAAGGAAGUGACGGUACCCUGAGAGGAAGCCCCGGCUAACUACGUGCCAGCAGCCGCGGUAAUACGUAGGGGGCGAGCGUUGUCCGGAAUUACUGGGCGUAAAGGGCGCGUAGGCGGUUAAUCAAGUCUGUUGUGAAAUUCCAAGGCUCAACUUUGGCAGUGCAAUGGAAACUGGUUGACUUGAGUACGGCAGAGGCAAGUGGAAUUCCCAGUGUAGCGGUGAAAAUUGCACAGAGAUUUGGGGAGGAACCACCAGUGGCGAAGGCGACUUGCUGGGCCGAAACUGACGCUGAGGCGCGAAAGCGUGGGGAGCAAACAGGAUUAGAUACCC